GGAAAACAUAAAGAUAAAAUACUACACUCAACACAUACAUGUGUUUGUUUAGUCACCACCACCUAUUAUUCUCUCCUCCAACCACUUAAAUUUCUCUUCCAUUUUUUUUUCUUCUUCCGCCUCUUUUAGAUUUUCCUGCAAUGCCGCAAUUUCUUGUUGCAUUUCAGAGAUUUGGCAUUGGUAUUCAUUGUUCAUAUUCCAAACAUACCGCAAAUAUGAUUUAUAGUAUUCCUGGUUAAUGGGUUUAUUAUACCAUUCCUAAAAAAUACAAUGAUUUCCGUCAUUGCGUUCAAACCUGUAUAGACACAUCCAAUAUCUGCGCCCAACAUUAUUGUUACGACCAAAAUCUAUGGGCCGUGACGGGCACCCAAUACCUUACUCAACCGAGUACCAACAUAGCAUAUCAUUCUUAUCGUACUUUCAUUGGAAAAUGGGCCAAACGGGCCAUCAUGGGCUAGCCAGAAUGAACAUGGAGGAGUACUCCAUAUAGGACGACCCAACCUGAUAUAAAAAAUUACAUAUGUGACAUACGGGCCUAUAAGGCUAACAUGAUCAUUUGUAAACUCAAAACAUAGACCGACAAGGCCAUACAAGUAUCCGUAUACAUGGCAUCUGUCUACAAGCAUCUAAGAGUACAUAAGUAUCAUAAAGGUCAGGACUGAGUCUCGCCAUACCAAUCAAUACAUGCCCAAAUUAUACUGACCAAAUAAGUAACUUCGGAGCAAAUGGAGCGCACCAACAUCUUCCGCUAAGCUGAUAGCCUACUUGGAGGACUCUCGACCUGACUAUCGGGACCUGCGGGGAUGAAACACAGCGUCCCCAGAAAAAAAGGGACGUCUGUACAAAUAAUGUACUGAGUAGGUAAGGGAUGAAAAUUAAUAAACAAUAGACAUGAGAGAAACAUGGAGUAAAAGACUCAACAUGUACGUCUUCAUAGCUCUAUGAAUCAUUUUAUUUUUAUAAUGUCAUGCAUAUGCGUAUAAAUGUCAUACCAUGCAUAAGUAUAUGUGUUCAUAACAUCAUCAAGCCUCUGAGGGCAUCCCAUCAUAUCAUUUAACCACUGUGGGCAAAUCAUCAAUGUAUACCACCCGAUCAUGUGGUGGUGCGUAUAUAAUGCUGUAACCUUUUUCUCAUAUCCCAUAUAAAUAUAAUAUACAUAUAUACGCAUAUAUAACGCCAUCUGGUGAUGGGUCAAUGUACAUCUGGUGAUGGGUCAAUGCAUGAAAUGCAUAAGAAAUACGUUAAUUAGAUUUCUCAAAAUGUCAUAAAAAUAAUAUGCUUGUCGGAUAAAAUUUAUCAAAUAUGUAUUUUUCUGAGACCCAUGAACAGAAGAUAUAAUAAUAAUUUAUACAUGGAAUCAAGAAUAUAGACACCCCUAGUAUUUCUAUGAAUAGAGUCAUUUAUAAAAGUUGUGCAUUUGUUCGUUUCGUUCGUGUCGUAUAGAUCAUGCCAAAAAGAAAGAAGGGAUAGCCUUAACAUACCUGGAUUAGGGAAACAUUCGUAUGAUAUUCUUGAGAAGGAUUGCACCGUACUCCCUUAAAAUCGCAAAAUCUCAUGUUGCUAAGUAUUCUAAGAAGUCUCGUAGUAUAAUCUUCAGAUGAAUUUUGCCGAAGACUUCUUUGAAUUGUAGAGAUUCAAAAUGAAUUCUCUGCUGAAGCCUCACCCGUUACUUUGCUUAAUUCCAAUUCACCUCUUUUUGUGAAUUAGAAAAGUCUUUAACUUAGUGGGUG
Molecule: long non-coding RNA, 1730 nt
Filed under: Nicotiana tabacum (common tobacco)
Lineage: Eukaryota; Viridiplantae; Streptophyta; Magnoliopsida; Solanales; Solanaceae
Description: long non-coding RNA (NTAB_LNC007298)
Source: RNAcentral